CAGCAGCCGCGGGAAUACGUAGGUGGCAAGCGUUGUCCGGAAUUAUUGGGCGUAAAGGGCUCGCAGGCGGUUUCUUAAGUCUGAUGUGAAAGCCCCCGGCUCAACCGGGGAGGGUCAUUGGAAACUGGGAAACUUGAGUGCAGAAGAGGAGAGUGGAAUUCCACGUGUAGCGGUGAAAUGCGUAGAGAUGUGGAGGAACACCAGUGGCGAAGGCGACUCUCUGGUCUGUAACUGACGUUGAGGAGCGAAAGCGUGGGGAGCGAACAGGAUUAGAUACCCCCGUAGUCCCUGUCUCUUAUAC
RNAcentral lists this ribosomal RNA (301 nucleotides) under uncultured bacterium. RNAcentral's name for it is "partial 16S ribosomal RNA". It matches the Rfam family "Bacterial small subunit ribosomal RNA", at positions 509 to 807 of the family's 1533-position model. The record is from RNAcentral.